CCCUCCCGGGAGCACUAUGUCCCUCAGCCUUCUCCACCUGACCAUGGAGCCUCUAUAACAGUAUUGUCUUCAUCGAUACCUGCAAAGUGUCUGUAAUGGAGGCCAGGGUGUUCUAGAUCACCUUGAAACAUCUGCUGGAUGAAUGAGUGGGAAGGAUGUAGGGGAUGGAUGAAGAGUUUCCCUCUGCCUCUGCAGUCAUGAGAUUCUCUGAAAUCUGUGAAGAAUUCCAGCUGAGUAUGGAAGCACACACCUGUCAUGACACUGCUCUGAACGAUCAGACGUGAGAAUAGCUCAUGAGCCCUAUGACUCUGACUCAGCCCCGCCUGUGGUACCAGCAUGCAGUGGGCGUGGACUCUUCCCUCCUGAUGCCUUCCCAGCUUGGAAGAGCAAGUGCUACAAAGGAAAAUCAUCCUUGCAUGGGAAGACAAGCCAAAGCCACACAUCACGGAAGGAUUCCGAGUGAUGGAAAAGAAAAUGGAAAAAUGGGAUAGAGUUUAUAUUCGUAAUACCAAAUAGAUCUGAGAGUCAUUUCUCACUCAUGCCUCCGAUAUUAGUAUAAAUGCCCUUUUGUAACUAAAAAAAAAUUUUUUUGCCUCGAGUUCAAGACAAUACUUUCUUUUCAUUCUUUUGCAAAAAUUAAUUCGUAUCUGUUUCAGUUAGGAUUAUGUUCUGCUACAUAAAAUAGAAAAUCCAAAAGAAAAGAAAAACCUCUGUUGAGAGGUUUAAAGCCACACCGGUCGGAUCUAUUCUUUCAUGUAAAAGACAUCCGGAAAUGAGCAGUCCGGGGUGGGGAGGGCAGCUCUACAAAGACUCCAGGAACCAGGACGGCUCACAUCUUUUCUGUUUUACCAUUCUUAGCACAUAGCCUCCAGCCUCACGUUGGCUACUGGGGUUCUAGCAUCUUGUCUGGGGGUCCCGGCAACCAGAAGAGAAAAAGGCAAAGAAAACCACAUAGCAUCCCGUUGAGGCAGCCGCCCUGAAGCAUGCUCCCUGAAACCCUUCUGGAAAGUACUGCACGGCCACUACCUGGUCACCUGAUGAGGCUACAGAGGAACCAAACAAAGAUGCAGGAUCAAGGAUGCUGGCUGUGUCAUCAGUCUCUACACCAUGUUCUACCAGCAUCUGAUCCCGACCUUGAAGAAAUUCUUCUGACAGCAGGUUCAGAUCCCCCUUUUUGGACGAUAGCUCGAGCUCUUUUGUGUUGGGAUCUACGACACAUCAGGAGAAGCAGAAUAGAAGGGACAUGGAGCUGCGUAUGUUUAAGUUUAAAGUUUGACAAGUAUGUGUUUGGCAAGCUAUGGAUGCACAAUUAGGAAGCAAUUGUCAUUGCACUUUUCACAAAUGUAAAUAGAGAUGAUGAAUAAAUUUACCAAAGUCAAGAGCUACUACUAUGCUAAA
Non-coding RNA from Rattus norvegicus (Norway rat), 1398 nucleotides. The record is from RefSeq and is a predicted model, not a curated record. NCBI's taxonomy places the organism in Eukaryota, Metazoa, Chordata, Mammalia, Rodentia, Muridae.